CAGUCGCCACGGUAAUACAGAGGGUGCGAGCGUUAAUCGGAUUUACUGGGCGUAAAGCGUGCGUAGGCGGCUUCUUAAGUCGGAUGUGAAAUCCCUGAGCUUAACUUAGGAAUUGCAUUCGAUACUGGGAAGCUAGAGUAUGGGAGAGGAUGGUAGAAUUCCAGGUGUAGCGGUGAAAUGCGUAGAGAUCUGGAGGAAUACCGAUGGCGAAGGCAGCCAUCUGGCCUAAUACUGACGCUGAGGUACGAAAGCAUGGGGAGCAAACAGGAUUAGAUACCCCAGUAGUCCCUGUCUCUUAUAC
Molecule: ribosomal RNA, 301 nt
Filed under: uncultured bacterium
Lineage: Bacteria
Description: partial 16S ribosomal RNA
Rfam family: Bacterial small subunit ribosomal RNA
Source: RNAcentral